RNAcentral lists this long non-coding RNA (11282 nucleotides) under Nicotiana benthamiana. RNAcentral's name for it is "long non-coding RNA (NBEN_LNC010727)". The record is from RNAcentral. Lineage: Eukaryota; Viridiplantae; Streptophyta; Magnoliopsida; Solanales; Solanaceae.
UCCAUUGUGUAGCUGCGGCCUCCGUUAUAUUCACUUCAGGGCAUACCCCUGGAAUAGAAUAUGUAAAACUACUCAAAUUUAUAAAAGUUUCAAGAUACAUUAAUUAUAGAAUUAAAUUAUUACUAUUAUUAUUAUUAUUAUUAUUUUCUUGCAUAUAGUGAAUAUAUAUAUAUAUAUAUAUAUAUAUAUAUAUAUAUAUAUAUAUAUAUAUAAAAAUAGAAAAAUAUAUAUAUAUAUAUAUAUAUAUAAAAUUAGAAAAAUAUUAAUAAUUUUAAAAUUAUUAAAAAUGAAUAUCAUUAUUUACUUGUUAAAUCCAAAAAAGAGAAGGGAAAACAAAUAAAAUAAUAAAACAAAAUAAAACAAAAGGCUUAAAGCCUUAUAAUAAGAAUGACGUACUUCUCAUUCAGAUAGGCAAAAUGGCAGAAGCCUAUUUCGAACAAACAAAACAAGAAAAAAGAGGCGGAGAACACAAAAACAGAGACACACGGCUCAAAGCAGAGGCAACCUGAAAUUACUUGAAAAUCCUAGGGUUAUUUACAAACCACCAAUCCUUGAACUUAGAUAUAUAAAAUUCUCUAUUGAUAAUUAUCCUACCAUGAUAAUAGGUAAUAAUUGAAUAGUUAAUUCCCUUCUUCCUUUAUAUCAACAUUAAAUUUCAUGUUUAGGUGUAGUACUUUAAAUUAAUUAAAAUGCACGGGUUUUGUAGAAUCGAUUGUUUAACUGGUGUCAAUUGGACUGGGGCCUACGUAUUAGCUCGAGAAAUUUUGAGGUGAGUUGAUAUAACCCUUUACUAAAGUGAUUUAACUCACAAAAGCACGCAUACAAGGUGAUUGAUGAAUUGCAUAAAAGAAUUUAUCUUUAUUUUAUUAAUUUACCAAAGUGGUUUAACUCACAAAAAUAUGCAUACAAGGUGUUUGUUGAAUUAGCUAAAAGAGUGAAUAUGUACUUAAUUGAAGCGAGUGAAUUCCUAUUAGCUUAGAAUUAUUCUUUUUGUUAAAUUUAGAUGAUUUAUUUUGAUAUAUGUGCAUAGAUUUUCAGAUUUUUGUGUUAUUCUUAUAUGUCAUUUUCAUGUUGAAAAUUCAUGAAAAAGCAAGAAUAUAUAGAAAUAAUUUUGAAUGCAUAUUUCAUUCUUAUGGCAUACCUAACAUUUAAGACUUUUUGAAUAAGUAUAUUUUCAAGAUUUAGACUAGAAAAGUCAGAAGAAUAAGUUUUAGAAAGAAAAGAUUUUUGACAGUAUCCUUUAUUCUGAGAAGGGGUCAUCGUCCAGGCCGAGGGUCCUGACUAAGGCGUUGACUUCCUAAAACUACUUGUGCCAAAGUAGGGAGCACGCCAGCUGAGGGUCUUGUUGUUGAGAAAUUACAUAGCCAUUCUAAAGCUAAAGUAUGAUACACGAGCGCUGAGAACCAUGAAGCGAGUGGAACCUCAUGGAUUGGGCCUAUUCGAUCAGGUUGGGAUUGAACCCAUGCCAAUUACACGGUGACUGAGACGGAGUUAAGUCAGAAUAGUUGGAACUCCCAAAGUAAAAGUGAAGUAUUUUUUUAAUAAGAAAGAAAAAAAGAAAAGAAUUUCUUUUAGAAUAUUCAUAAGCUGUUAUUAUGCAAUUAUUUAGAAUUAUUCUUAUAAGCUUUAUGUUUUACAUGCAUUUAGAAACUUUGCUCGUAAUGUAUAUGCUAUUAAAGUUUGAGCCCUAUUGUUGAGACUCACUAAGUACAAUGGAUGAUACUGACAUUCUCUUUUAGGAACCUACGUUGGUCUGCGGUACAACGUAGGAACCGGAUUUGCAGGCGAGCAAGCUACGAGUUAGGACUUCCUUUUCUUCCAGUGCUAUUAAUGAGCUCCGCUUUUGUUUGUGGAGUAUUCCUUAACGUCAUAUUUAUUUAGUUAUUUAUUUGUUACUUAGAGAAUUGGCCAGGAAAUCUCAUGUCUUGAGUAGUGCGUCAGUUUAUCAGUAGAGGCUUCAUAGACAUAGUCGUUAGGUUAAGAUUCAGAUGUUUUUGAUAAUAACUUAGCAGUAUUUUAUUGGUUAUUAUGAAUAAAGUUUUGGAUUUAAUUUAUUUAAAUGUUUAAAUUAAUUAAAAGUAUUUGGUUAGAGUAUUGCAUGUUACAUAUAAAGUUUAGAGUUAUAAUAGAUUUGAUAAGCAGAUAUGGUUUGCUCGGUCAUAUUUAGUGAUCGAGUGCCGAUCCCGGCUUGUUCAGAAAAUGGGUUGUGACAAACUUGGUAUCAGAGCCUCAGGUUUAUGAAGUCCUAGGGGUCUAUGAAGUCGUGUUAGUAUAGUUUUGUUUAUGGGUUUGAAUCACAUCAUACUUAUAAAUAGGAGGCUACAAGCAUUUAGGAAAAGUCUCAUUUUUUUCAUAUUUUAGAUCGUGCAGUAGAUCCUACCUCUAAGAAACUAUCUAAUGUACUCGUUUCUUUAAAACUCGCAGAAAUGGCUCGUACUCGCAACUCUGACACCGACACUCAAGAUGUUGCUAAAAAACUAUUGCUACCAUUGUGGCUCAAGGUAGAACUAAGAAGGCUUCAACUCAGAAAAGUAAGGGUAAACCCACAAAAAGGGUUCAAGUACCCCGGGUUGAGCAUGAAGAAGAGGUGGAACAUGGUGAUCCGGUGCUUCCCCCAACAGCAGCUCCGGCUCAGGCAACAAUGCUAUGGAGAUGUUUAAAGCCUUUAUGGCCAUCCAGAAUGAGAGAAGAGAUGAGAUUCUACCUCAAUCAAACAGACAGAACAAUUCUGAGUCCUCAAGAGUGAAUGAAUUUUUGAGGUUGAGUCAUCUAGUAUUCCAUGGUUCUGUAGUUGAUGAAGAUCUGAUGUUGUGGCUGGAGGGUGUCAAGAAAGCCUUCUGAGUGCUAAAAGCAUUUGAUGAUGAAGUUGUGUAGCUUGCUGCUUACCAGCUUAGAGAUGUGGCAGGCGCUUCCUUUGAGAUUGGAAAAAGGAAAGAGAUGAAGAUGAUGGUCCGCCUACUUGGGAAGAAUUUGAAUAGGCCUUCAUGGCUAAAUUUAUUCCAAAAGAGGAUAUGGAAGCUAAGGCUACAGAGUUCGAAUAACUCAAGCUAGGGAAUAAAAGUGUGCAAGAGUACUACAUGGAAUUCAUAUGGCUAGCUAAGCAUGAUCCUCACAUGGUUAAGACAGAAAAAGCAAAGAUUCGCAGGUUUGUUAGCAGUUUAUCUUACCACAUUAAGGAUAGGACAUCAGCUGCAGCAGUAGCGAUGACAACUUUCUCCUCUAUUGUGGGAUUCACCAAGCACUUAGGAAAGGACAGACAACAAAGGAAAAAAUAAAAAGAGCAUAGCAAGAAAGCCUGGACAGCGGGCAGGUUUAAUGGUACAUCCAAGGGAGGUAGGAGGGAUUCCUCUUAUAAGGAGUCAUUAUAACCAGCUCAGUCCAGUCAUCAGUCAUGUGGUGGUCUUCCUUCAGACGUACUCUGAGUUAUGGAAAUCAAUCUCGCCAGGAUCAGAAUUUUAGGACAUCAUCCUUACAUAGCCAAAGUCAUGCUGAGCAACAUUUACACCAACUACGUCUUUGUGGAACAUGUAAGCGACAACAUUCAGGUUAGUGCAAGCUCAGAUUUCAUGGUUGCUAUCAUUGUGGAGACAUUGGUCAUAUAAAGGCCAACUGUCCAAAGUUGGAACGUAAUUUUAGUAGUGGAUCAACUCAUCCUUCUAUUUCCUCAACUACUGCAGUUGCACCACCUCAGGCUCGUGGUUCUCAGAAUCAGAUCGGGCAUGGAGCAGGCAGUGGUGCAGAUCGAGUUGCUUAGGAAGGGGGGACAACCAUGUUUGUUUGCUACACUUGAUUGCAGAGGCAUCUACAGAAGUUAUUACUGGUAUAUUUUUAGUCUGCUCACGUAAUGCUUAUGCCAUAAUGGAUCCAGGUUAAACGUUUUCAUAUGUGACUCCAAACAUUGCAAUUAACCUCGGACUAGAACCUGAACAACUUAGAGUGAGCCAUUCCUAGUAUCUAUUCCAGUUGGCGAGUUAGUGAAAGUCACCAGAAUCUACAGAGGUUGUAUAGUUUUAGUCCAAGAUCGCAUCACCAAAGCCAAUAUCAGAGAUAGAAAUGGUGGAUUUUUAUGUGAUUAUGGGUAUGGAUUGGUUGUCUUCCUACUAUGCCAUGUUAGAUUUUCAUAACAAGAUAGUCAGGUUCCAAUUUCCAAAUGAAGAAGUCUUAGCGUGGAAGGGUAGUUCAGCAUCGCUUGUAGGUAAGUUUAUUUCUUACCUUAAGGCACAACGAAUGAUCAGUAAGGGAUGUCUUGCCUAUUUUUCUCACAUCAUUAAUCCAGAAUCAGAACCACCAGCUCUUCAGUCAGUGCCAGUUAUUAGAGAAUUUCCAGAAGUUUUCCCAGAUGACCUUCCCGGAAUUCCUCCUUGAAGAAUCAUAAGAUUUGGCAUUGAUCUCAUGCCAGGCAGUCAGCCCAUAUCUAUACCUCCUUAUAGGAUGGCUCAAACAGAACUUGAAGAGUUGAGAGAACAGUUAAAAGAACUUCUUAACAAGGGCUUCAUUAGACUGGGAGUUUCACCGUGGGGUGCUCCGGUCCUGUUUGUCAAGAAGAAAGAUGGGUCUCUCAGAAUGUAUGUCGACUAUCGGCAGUUGAAUAAAGUUACCAUUAAGAACAAGUUCCCACUGCCAAGAAAUGAUGAUUUAUUUGAUCAACUUCAGGGUGCAAAAUACUUUUCAAAAUAGACUUGAGGUCGGGGUACCAUCAGUUGAGAUGAGAAAAGAGGAUAUAUCUAAAACAACCGUUUAGAACUCGCUACGGGCACUAUGAAUUUCUAGUAAUCUACUCCAGGUUGACAAAUGCUCUAGCGGCGUUCAUGGAUUUCAUGAAUAGAGUUUUCAAGCUAUUCCUGGAUACCUUUAUUAUUGUAUUUAUAGAUGAUAUUUUGGUGUACUCUAAGAGCAAGGAAGAUCAUGCAGAACACCAUAGCCUUGUAGACCUUGAAGGAGAAUGAGCUUUAUGCCAAGUUUUUAAAAUGUGAGUUCUAGUUGCUAUCAGUGGCAUUCUUAGGCCACGUGGUACCUAGUGAACGAAUAAAAGUAGACCCUCGGAAGACAGAAGAAAUCAAGAAUUGGCCUAGGCGGACAACGCCAACCGAAAUCAUGAGUUUCUUGGGAUUAGCUAGCUACUAUAAAAGGUUUAUAGAGGGGUUUUCCUCACUUGCAGCUGCAUUAACUAAGUUGACUCAAAAAGCAGUUAAGUUCCAAUGGUCAGAUGCUUGUGAGCAGAGUUUUCAAGAGUUAAAGAAGAGGUUGACCACUGCACCUGUGUUAACCUUGCCGAUAGGUUCGGGUGGGUUCACAGUGUAUUGUGAUGCCUCCAGAGUGGGCCUUGUUUGUGUUCUUAUGCAAAAUGGAAAAGUUAUUGCUUAUGCUUCCAGAAAGUUAAAGAAUCAUGAAAAGAACUACCCCACACACGACUUAGAGCUUGUAGUAGUGGUGUUUACAUUAAAAAUAUGGUGACACUACCUUCAUGGCGAGCAUUCUGAAGUGUUUACAGAUCACAAAAUCCUCCAGUACAUUUUCAAGCAAAAAGAACAAAAUUUGAGACAGAGCAGGUGGCUCUAGGUAUUGAAAGAUUAUGACAUCAACAUCAUUUAUCACCCAAGAAAAUCUAAUGUGGUAGCAGAUGCACUUAGUAGGAACACAAUGGGUGUCUUGGCCCAUCUUGUAGUACAAAGGAGAUCUUUGGGUCAAGAAAUUCAAAAAUUAGCAAAUGAUGGAAUUAGAUUGGAUGAUACCGAAGAAGGAGAUAUAACCGAUUAUGUCUAAUUCAAUCCUCCCUUGUUGCGUAUGUGAAGGCUAAGCAAGAAGAUCCCUACUUAGUGAAAUUAAAAGAAGGAGUCAGAAGCAAAGAAAUCACUGCUUUCACUCUAGGAAGUGGCGGAGUUUUGAAGUUAAAUGAUCGGUUAUGUGUGUCUGAUGUAGAUGGUCUUAGGAAGGCCAUAAUGGAGGAAGCUCACAGUUCGAGGUACUCUAUUCACUCAGGUGCUACCAAAAUUUACCUAGAUUUGAAAGAGUUGUAUUGGUGGAAAUGCAUGAAGAAACAAGUAGCAGAGCAUAUGGCUAAAUGUUUAAAUUGCUAGCAAGUCAAAGCCGAGCAUUAGAGGCCUGGUGUCUUAGCUCAAGAUAUAGAGAUACCACAGUGGAAGUGGGACAUGCUUAAUAUGGAUUUCGUAGGAGGUCUACCUCGCACGUACCGUAAACAUGAUUCAAUUUGGGUUAUUGUAGACCGACUGACAAAGUCCACGCAUUUCCUACCAGUAAUGACGACAGAUUUCGCAGAGAAGUAUGUGUAGUUGUACAUCAAAGAAAUAGUCUAAUUGCAUGGUUACUCCAGUUUCAAUCAUAUCGGAUAGAGGCCCUUAGCUCACGGCGUAUUUUUGGCAGGCAUUUCAGAAAAGAUUGGGUACUAAGAUCAAUUUAAGCACCGGUUUUCAUCCAAAGACCGAUGGCCAGGAUGAAAGGACCAUUCAGACUCUCGAAGAUGUGUUGCGUGGGUGUGUUAUAGACUUUGGAGGUAAUGGGGAUGAUCACUUGCCACUUAUAGAAUUUGUUAACAAUAACAACUAUCAGGCCACCAUUGGUAUGGCUCCUUAUGAAGCGUUGUAUAGGCAGAUAUGUAGGUCUCCAGUGGGUUGGUUUGAACCAGCAGAGGUACCAUUGAUUGGUCCAGAGGUUGUUUUUGGGGCAUUGGAGAAAGUUCAGCUAAUUAGUGAAAGACUUAAAGCGGCUCAAAGUCAUCAAAAGUCUUAUUCUAAUAAGAGGCAUCGUGAGUUAGAGUUCAUGGUUGGUGAUAAGGUGUUCUUAAAAGUUUCACCAAUUAAAUGAGUUAUGAGGUUUUGUAAGAAAUGGAAACUUAUCCCUAGAUUUAUCGGACCAUAUGAAAUUCUAAAAAAGAAAGGAAACGUGGCUUAUAAGCUAGCUCUACCCGUUGAGUUGUCCAUUGUUCAUCCUGUCUUUCGUGUGUCUAUGCUUGGGAAGUGCAUUCAUGAUGAGUCGCAUAUAAUACCUGCCGAUACCAAAUAAAUUAAAGAAGGUUUGACUUAUGAAGAUGUACCUAUAGAAAUUCUUGAUAGACAAGUAAGAAAUUUGAGAACAAAAGAUAUAGCAUCGGUAAAAGUCUUAUGGAGUAAUAAUGAUUCAAGAGAAGCUACGUGGGAGGUCGAGGAAGAUAUGAGGAAGAAGUAUCCUUAUUUAUUUGAGUAACAAGGUAUGUGAACCUAGGUUUGGCUUGAUAUGUAUAUUUCAUUUAUUGAAUACAAGUUAGCAAGUGUUUAUAUCCUUCCUAGAUUAUAUUUAGUUUUUGUAGUGAUUUAGUUUACGCCAGAGUAUAUUUAAUUCAUUAAAGUGAUUUACUUUUGCUAAAGUGUUGUGCUUUAGAUAAUUGUUAGUUAUUGUGGUACCUCCUUGCCGGAGUGUGAGUAAUUAAUUUAUGAGCUAUAUAUGGUGCCUAUGAAUUGCCUGUUAUGGCAUAUUUGGUUGUUGUUGGUGUAGUUGUGGUAUUUGUGACAUGGAUAUUUUUUUUGGAUAGUCCAAUUUACAAGGGAAAUUCUGCAGAAAUUUAUGAAAAUUUAGGGAGUUAGCCAAAAUUUUGAGUCCCUUGGAAAAGUGAGUAGUGCUAAGAAAACUUAAUAGGUUCGAGGACCUGAGUUAUGAUUGUUAGCUUAAGAAUAAGACCCUAGCAACAUUUGAGGACGAAUGUUUUCAAGGAGGGAAGAUUGUAACACUUCUCAAAUUUAUAAAAGUUUCAAGAUACACUAAUUAUAGAAUUAAAUUAUUAAGAUUUUUUUCUUGCCUAUAUUAAAUAUAUAUAUAUAUAUAUAUAUAAUAAUAUCUACUUUUAAUAAUUAAUAAUAUUAAAAUUAUUAAUAUUUCUCUAAUUAUAUAUCUAAUUAUUUAAGUGUAUAUAUAUAUAUAUAUAUAUAUACACUUAAAUAAUUAGAUAUAUAAUUAGAGAAAUAUUAAUAAUUUUAAUAUUAUUAAUUAUUAAAAGUAGAUAUUAUGAAUUACUAGUUAAGUCAAAAAUAAAAAAGAAAAAACAGAAGGGGAAAACAAAUAAAAUAAUAAAACAAAAGGCUUAAAGCCUUAUAAUGAGAAUGACGUACUUCUCGGCAAAAUGACAAAAGCUUAUUUCUCACAAACAAAACAAGAAAAAAGAGGCGGAGAACACAGAAACAUAGACACAUGGCACGAAGCAGAGGCAACCUGAAAUUCCUCGAAAAUUCUAAGGUUCUUUACAAAUCAUUAAUCCUUGAACUUAGAUAUAUAAAAUUCCCUAAUGAUAAUUAUCUUAUCAUGGUAAUAAGUACCAUGGUAAUAGGUAAGAAUUUAAUAGUUAAUUCCCUUCUUUUUCUAUAUCAACAAUAUUUUUCAUAUUUAGGUGUACUACUUUAAACUUGAUAAAAUGCACUUGUUGUUAUAGAAUCGAUUAUUUGACUGGUGUUAAUUGGACCGGGGCCUACGCAUUGGCUCGAGAAGUUUUGAGGUUAGUUGAUAUAACCAUUUACCAAAGUGGUUUAACUCACAAAAGUAUGCAUACAAGGUGUUUGUUGAAUUGGCUAAAAGAGUGAAUAUGUACUUAAUUGAAGUGAGUGAGUUCAUAUUAGCUUAGAUUUUUUUUUUUUAAAGUUAGAUGAUGUACUUAAGUGAAGUGAGUGAGUUCCUAUUAGCUUAGAAUUUUAUUUUUUUUAAAGCUAGAUGAUUUAUUUUGAUAUAUGUGCAUAAAUGUUUAGAUAUUUGUGUUAUUCUUAUAUGCCAUUUUCAUAUUGAACAUUUAUGAAAAAGCAAGAAUAUUAAGAAAUAAUUUUGAAUGUGUAUUUCAUUCUUAUGUCAUACCUUAUAUUUACAAAUUUUAGAAUAAGUAUGUCUGGAAGAUUUAGACUGGAAAAGGCACAAGAAGAAAUUUUAGAAAGAAAAGAUUUUUGGGAGUAUUUUUAUAUUCUGAGAAAGGGUCAUCGUCCAGAACGAGGGUCCUGACCAAAGCGUUGACUUCCUGAAACUACUUGUGCCAAAGUAAGGAGCAUACGAGCCGAGGGUCUUAAUGCUGAGAAGUUACUUAGCCAUGCUAAAGUAUGAUACUUGAGCGUUGAGAACCAUGAAGCGAGUGACACCUCGUGGAUUGGGCCUAUUCGAUCAGGUUGGGAUCAAACCCGUGCCGAUCAUACAGUGACUUGAGACAGAAUUAUGUUAGGAUAGUUGGAACUCCCAAAGUAUAAAGUGAAGUAUUUCUUUUUUUUAAAAAAAAGAAUUUCUUAUAGAAUAUUUAUAAACUGCUAUUAUGCAUUUAUUUAGAAUUAUUCUUAUAAGCUUUAUGUUUUACAUGCAUUUAGAAUCUUUACUCAUAAUGUAUAUGUUAUUAAAGUUUCGACCAUGUUUUCGAGACUCACUAAGUACAAUGGAUGGUACUGAUGUUCUCUUUUAGGAACCUACGUUGGUCUGCGGUACAACGUAGGAAUCGGAUUUACAGGCGAGCAGGCUACGAGUUAGGACUUCCUUCUCUUCCAUUGCUAUUGGUGAGCUCCGCUUUUGUUCGUGGAGUAUUCCUUAGCAUCAUCUUUAUAGUUAUUUCUUUGUUACUUAGAGAACUAGCUAGGAAAUCUCAUGUCUUGAGCAAUGCGUUAGUUUGGCUUCAUAGACAUAGUCGUUGGGUUAUGGUUCAGAUGUUUUUGAUAAUAACUUAACAGUAUUUCAUUGGUUACUAUGAAUUAAUUUUUGGAAUUGAUUUUAAUUAAUCAAAAGUAUUUGGUAAGAGUAUUACCUUGUUGCAUAUAAAGUUUGGAGUUAUAUUAGAUUUGAUAAUAAAAGAUGGUUCGCUCGGUCAUAUUUCGUGAUCGAGUGCCAGCCCCGCUUGUUCAAAAAAUGGGUUGUGACAGAAUAUAUAUACAAGUCCUUCGGGACAUUCCCCGAGUAAGUUUAACUAAGAUAACGAUCUCUCGCCUCGAAACUAAAAAAAUUCUAAGGCUUGCUUACCCGAAUGUUGUCGGCCUAAACAUCAAUUAAUACAUAAAGUAAGAUAACUAAGCAAAAAGUUUCAUCAAUCAAGCUCAAUACCAAUCAAAAUAAGCUCUAAAUAACCUCAUUUAUAUACGAGAAAAACGAAAUCUAAAGAAAAUUUCAAAGCCAUGUGAAAUUCACAUCAAUAGAAUGCAUUCAAGGAAAGUAGAGCCAAUUCAUUCACACAAUAGCAAACAAGGACAUAUUUAAGGCAGAAGACUUAGAAAUGGACCUCAAUGUGUGGACUAUGGAUUAAAUUUCAGCAACUCAAAUCAACUCCAUUUGAGGCGUAAAAAUGGAGACCUGUCAGAUCUGAAACAGUUCCGGCGGACAAACAAGAUCACGUCUCAAAACGCUUUAAGGCUAAGUUGAAGAUAGCAACAACAAUAACCAAAUAAAUGCUGAAAUGAAGAUGGAGCUCGACUUAAACUGAGCUUUUCAAUUAACGAAAACCUCAGCCAUUACAAAUUUGGUUCGGAUGCAAAAUUGCUAUGACCUACGAUAAACCGAUGAACCUCGGACUCUAACCUCAAACAGACUCAAAUCCAGACCUCAAAACUUGCCAGAGUCGAUGACGUUACUGCCACGAUGAUGACGAUACUAUUAGUUCUAAACUCGUCCGACAUAGAAGUGAAGAUAUCGGGUGUUGUUGCGUGCAUACAAAGAAGCAGUAGCGGCUCCAAUGGUUUCUUGGGUGUGGGUGUUCGUGAGCAAGUGUAUUCCGGCGGGUUUCAGGCAGUGAGGUCCGACGGCUUGGGCUGGAGUGAAGGAGAUGAUAUCAGGGGUCGUUUAUGUUGUGUGUGGGGAUCCAAUUUUUUCCUGUUCUAGGGUGUGCUCAAAUGGUUAAGCGAUAGAGAAGAGGGGUCUUGGGCGGCGGACGGUGUUGAGCAUAGGAAGUUCGGCGGUGGCGCUCGUUUUAACUUUUUUUUUCUAGGGUUUCUAUUAUGUCUCAAGGUAUGAAGAAGAAGACCCCCAUUGCUGGGGCUUUUGGUUCCAUCUCCGUGAAGGACAUACGCUGAGAGGGUCCUUUUUUUGGUAAAAACGGCUGGUCUCCAAGACUUAAGAUUUCUAGGUUUUUUUAUCUCAUUAAGGACAAUGGAGUAUGGGCUAACAAGAUUUGGACUUCAAAAUUGGGCUCUAGAUUUCUACAUAAAUUGGGCUAAGAAAGUUAAAAUUUUAAAUUUUUUUUGAGAAUAAUAUGAGUACUUAUAAAAGAUAUAAAAUUACUCUUACUAAUUGAUUUUAAUAAACUAUUAAUAUUCUAAUAAAAUUAAAAUUAAAGUUGAAACUAUUUU